GGCUCGUUGGUCAAGAGGUCAAGACGCCGCCCUCUCACGGCGGAAUCAUGGGUUCGCUUCCCGUACGAGCUA
RNAcentral lists this transfer RNA (72 nucleotides) under Lachnospiraceae bacterium. RNAcentral describes it as "tRNA-Glu". It matches the Rfam family "tRNA". From Rfam's summary of the family: Transfer RNA (tRNA) molecules are approximately 80 nucleotides in length. The record is from RNAcentral. Lineage: Bacteria; Bacillati; Bacillota; Clostridia; Lachnospirales; Lachnospiraceae.